RNAcentral lists this long non-coding RNA (4856 nucleotides) under Fragaria vesca (wild strawberry). RNAcentral describes it as "long non-coding RNA (FVES_LNC001662)". Lineage: Eukaryota; Viridiplantae; Streptophyta; Magnoliopsida; Rosales; Rosaceae. The record is from RNAcentral.
AACAAUCUAAAAUACUUUACUGCAAAUAGACCAAUCAAUUCUGAUCCAAAUCAAUAGAUAACUGAACAAAUGAAGGAUCAAGAGAUAGAUUACGACAUAUAAUCAAUUAUUUCAGAUCAACUAAGUAGACUAAUAAUGAACAGGAAAGGAAAAGUGAGCAAACUGAAAUUCGAGAUUUUCUCACUGGAUACUCAAACACAAGGGAAAGAUUUUCUUUAACUUCCUUUUCUCUUUUUCAAAGUCUAAAAUCUUUCCUUUCCUUUCCAAAACAUUUGUAAAACUCUUUUCCAUAAACCAAACUUCAGCGAAAUCCUUGGAAACCGGUUAGAGCCCACUGCCCAGCUAUACCACUGAGCAAACCCCGCACAUGCGGUACCCUAAUCAGGUUUAGGGUUAAACAACCCAAGGGAGGCACAAUCCCUACUCACACAAUUCACCGGGUCUAACUAAAUAAAACAAAUAAAACCAAAUCUGAUCUUUCCAUGAAACACUUUGCUUUUCCAAACCUAGUCAAUCUGUGACAACCCGGAAUUUUAUUAUGUAUAUAUUAUGUAUAUACCUAUUUACAAACUUGCUUAUAUAUAUAUAUAUAUAGGUAUGAUUGUUUUAAGUGUGUGUGUAUAUAUUUAGUGUUAUAUAUGCUGAAAAUUAAUAUAGUUAUUUAGUUUUUUUUUUAUUAAAAUUUAAUGAGUAGGGUUUUUAUCCAAGCCCAAUACCCAAAUACAAAGCCCAAGCCCAAACUUGAUAGCAAGGAAAAGAGAAGUGUUUGUCGUUCAGGCAAAACGAUGUCGUCCUCUUCUUCUUCAUCUCCUUCACCGCCUUCUGCUUCUUCUCCUCCGCCUUCCUUCCGACCUCUAAACUCGAAGUUUUAUCCUCUCUUCUUCACCGACUUCUUCUUUCUUCCGACCAGAUGUUUCCUAAUCCGAAACAUUGCCGCCAUAAAACCCAGAAACCGUCCUUGAAACGCCUAGCAGCCGACUUCAUUAAGCAGGAGAUGUCAAGAUUCUUGGAGACUAAGUUUCCAGAUGGAUAAGAAUUGGGUUGAAGUGCUCAAUUUGACUUCCUUGAGUCUUUCUUGGACUCCACGUUCUUCCCUCUUUCUAGACCCUAUAAAUAGAGGUUAGUAUUCAGAGUUUUCCAUAUGGUUUCCUUGAAUUCACUGAUAGAGAGAGAGAGAGAGAAGAGAAGAGAAAUUGGUGUUGUAGGAAAUUGGUAGAACUCAGGUUAGAUUCUCUUUAUGUUCAGACCAAUUAAUUGUGUUUAUAUGCUCUUAGUUUGUGAAUUUAGAAUUUGACAUCACUUUGGAAUCUUUGUAUGAUUGUUUAUUUGAUUGGAAUAGUUCCUAUUAAGAAUUGGUUUUGGUUUUGUUGCUGUUGAAUUCUGUGGCAAGUAGGAUUACUAAAUCCUUUGGUUUUGGUUAUCUUUGAUUUGAUUUCUUUGUUAGCCAAAUCAGUUCUUAUAUGUUAUUAAUAGCUAGAGAAUCAAGUAUAUGAUGUUGUUGUUAUUGUUGUUGUUGCUGUUGUUUGAAUUAGCUUAAAAUUUUGUUCAUGUAGUAGAUUUAUUCUUUUGUAAACAGAAUAGAAACUGAUGAAGAUGAUUAUCUUUAGUUCUGCAAGUUUGGGUGUCCUGAGUAAUUACAAUGUUGUUGUUCGAAUUAGAGAUUCUUGUUUUCUCUUACACAACAAGGGCUUAGAGUGACUAAGAAACCUAUAUGAGUAUUUAGACAUCGAUAGAAUUGAUUAGGAACCUUAGACUUUGCAUGAACUGAAGUGACAUUUGAAUGGAAAAGUUUUUGUAACUUGUUCAUUUAGUUAACUUUGAGCAACCAUAUCUUUGAAUUAAUCAUGCUUUUUAGAAAUCAUUUGCAUGUAUUGAAAGUUCAUAUUCUUAGCUUGAUAUCUGGGUAGUUUCAUGCAAGUUCAUUUAGAAUUCGUUAGUCAAGUUUGGAGCCGAAAACAUAGCUGAACAUUCUGCAAAUCAGCUUUCUUGUAUUUUGGAGUCAGUCACCUUGAUUUCUAAAAACCGUACAUUUAGGUUGGUUAUUUGAAGUUUGUUUCUUCAUAAAAGGUGUAGUAGACAUCUUAAAUAUUAUUUUAGAAUUUGAAUCACUUCAAAAGGAUUUCUUUAGGUUAAGAUAUGAUUUUUCAAAGUUCAGGGUCUGCAGUAAGAAAUUCUGCAGAUCAAUUUUCUGUGUUUUUGACCCAGCUGUAUUUUUACUAAACCCUGUGCAUUUCAGUUGAGUAUUUGAAGUUAUUAUCUUCAUAAAAGUUAUAGUACACAUGUUAAAUAUCAUUCCUGAAUUUGAAUCUCUUCAAAAGGAGUUUUGUAGAUUAAGUUAUGAUUUUUCAAAGUUAAGGUUCUGCAUCAGGAAAUUUCUGCAAAUCCGUUUUCCAAGUUUUGGACCAAGUGACCUUUCUAUUAAAACCUGUACAUUUUGGUUCAGUAUUUGCAGUUUGUGUUUUCUCAAAAGUUUUGGUAGACAUCUUAGUUAUCAUUUACUGAAAUCUCCUGAAAAUGAUUUAUGUACAUUAAGUUAUGAAUUUUCAAAGUUGAAGGUUAGCUUUAAAUGGUUUAUGUAUUUGUUACUAUUUUACUGUUUGUUCAUUUUGAUUUCAAUGGUUUCUUUCAUUCAAACUUGUUUAGAUUCACCACCAACUGAACACACACAUUCUCAACUUUCAAACAAAGCUUGUGACAUUAUUUUCCAAAUUUAUUUGAGAUACUUAUGCCAUUUUGAAAUUAGCUAUGUGUAACAGUUUUUCUUCAAAAUAAAUCUACAUCACAUUUUGCUUAGUUUUUUUAACACGUCAAAUGUUAUCUUAAUGGCCUGAGAUUUUAGGUAGUAUGUUUUUGAGACGUAUGCUUUAAAGUAAAGCAUGUUCUUAAAACAUAUGAGGUCACACCCAAUUUUCGAAGGAUAAUUUUCAAAAAUUUGGGCAGGAUAAAUCUAAAAAAUUUGGGCAUGAUAAAUCUAAAAAAAAAACACUCCCAAAACCUAUUCAACAACUUCCAACUAAAUUCAAAUGCUGGAAAUGUAAUGUCAACAAAACUCUUUAACUGAGGUAAACAUUAUCUCUCCUUAAUUACACCAACUUCAAAAAGUCCAGUAAAAUACAGUCGCUCGCAUGAGUUUAAUACUGUCUACCAGAAAUAAUAAAAUAAAGUGUACAACAUCUAAAAUCCUGUCACUAUGCCUCCACCUCAACCCUACUGAUCACCACCUGCAGGUCUAACCCCUACACCAUGAAUUGGUGCACCGGGUUGUAAAACAACAAAACCGGUAAGCUUAAAAGCUCGUAUGAGUAAAUCCCAAAAUAAUAACUCAACAAUUCCAACAUCACAUAAGAUAAAACUGGUAAUUCCUGCAUUAGCAACUUAGUUUAGAAAUCGCCUAAAAGCAAGAGAAUUCAAAAGAAAUAAUUAAGAAAACACGACAAUUCAAAAUGAUAAAUGAAUCCUGCAAAAAGCGUAGUUUAGGAAUUCUAUUAAAAUCACAUAAUUAAGAUUAAAAAAUCUCCUGUGAAUAAGCAUAGUUCAAGAGAUACUCAAACCAAGAAAUUUAAAUGAUAACACAUAAGAACAUCACACAAUCGUUUCUCUACUCUUAUUUAUGAGUUCGUCAACACUUAGUCAUCCCCCAUAAAUAACCAAAAAACGCAUACUCAUGGGUUUGUCAACACUUAGUCAUCCCCCAUGAAGUCCCGACAUACAAACUGGAGCUCUAUACUGACCGUAACCAAUCACCCGGUCAAGACUUGGUUCCUGGUCCACCACGAAGGCUCAUAAUCUAAUGCACACAAUCACCACUAAGGCACAAAUCCACAACUAAUUGAUAGGAGCAUAAAAUGCGACAUUCUUAAUGUGUUAUUAUCUCCAUUUGUACUUUGAUUAUCUCUUAUUGUUGUAGAAUAGAGUCAUAAUGUAAAGUCGAAAGUUUUUGGUAGAGUUGUGCGUAAAAUGUGUUAAACAUAGAGGAAUGAUGUAGAAAAUUGUCAAAAGCCGAUUUGUGGAGCCUUAGAGAUGUUCUUAUGAUUAUGUAAAGCUUUUACAUUGUCACAAAUUGAUUUAACUUCUCUGAUACUUAGGUGAUAUGAGAAGAGUUAUGGGAGAAAGAAUCAGGAGAAUUGAAGUUAUGCUUGAAUCAUUGCCGAGAGAAGUCUUCCUGAUGGACCUAGGGAAGCAAAGCAGCUGAUCCACGAAGCCUAGUCCAUGAAGGAGAGGUCCAAACCAAGUCCAAUAUGGAGAAGAAGAUCUAAAUUCGGCAGAAUAUCAAGGAAUAUCCAAGUCUUGAAAAUCCGGAUUAAAUCGGGAGAAUCCCUGUGCACGUCUGUCAAUUUCAACGGACUCUCCAGGACAGAUCACAAUGAAUCAGAAAACGUGCUAGAUAUGGAUAGAGAGCUACGGGAGUCUAGUUUCCAAAUCAAUUGGAAUCACCUCAAUAUCUAUUUUCUAGAGGGAGUUAUGAUGUAAUCAUCAGACGGAGGUCAUUCUGCCGAAAUUGAGAAGAACUAGGAAUCCUAAACCAACUUGGUUUAGGCUUUGUGGCCGACUUCUCUAGGGUUUUUCCUCUAUAUAAAGCAUGACUUCAAGAGCAGAAAAACAUCAUCUCUACUCUUGCAAUUACAUAGCCGAAACUCUACCAAACCCUAUACAGAAAAUUACUUAGCCGAUUCAUCCACCACAAACCAUAAGAAUCAUUCCAUCCUUCCACCGAUUUUCCCCACACUUGCCGAAUCUUUCAAGGUUGUAAAAGUGUGAUUUUCUCAUGGCUUCUUGUAUUAUUUUCUGUAUGGUUUCGAACUCUAUUGUAAUAUACUUUUCGAUUUUGGUUUUAUUUAUCAAACAUGGUUUUCGGA